RNAcentral lists this ribosomal RNA (693 nucleotides) under uncultured Acidobacteriaceae bacterium. RNAcentral describes it as "bacterial SSU rRNA". It matches the Rfam family "Bacterial small subunit ribosomal RNA", at positions 368 to 1053 of the family's 1533-position model. Lineage: Bacteria; Pseudomonadati; Acidobacteriota; Terriglobia; Terriglobales; Acidobacteriaceae. The record is from RNAcentral.
GCAAUGGGCGCAAGCCUGACGACGCAACGCCGCGUGGAGGAUGAAGAUUUUCGGAUCGUAAACUCCUGUCGAAUGGGACGAAAAGAUUGCGGGUUAACAGCCCGUAGUUCUGACGGUACCGUUAAAGGAAACCCCGGCUAACUCCGUGCCAGCAGCCGCGGUAAUACGGGGGGGGUAAGCGUUGUUCGGAAUUACUGGGCGUAAAGAGCUCGUAGGCGGCCAACUAAGUCGGACGUGAAAUCCCUCAGCUUAACUGGGGAACUGCGUCCGAUACUGGAUGGCUUGGAUUUGGGAGAGGGAUGCGGAAUUCCAGGUGUAGCGGUGAAGUGCGUAGAUAUCUGGAGGAACACCGGUGGCGAAGGCGGCAUCCUGGACCAAUAUUGACGCUGAGGAGCGAAAGCCAGGGGAGCAAACGGGAUUAGAUACCCCGGUAGUCCUGGCCCUAAACGAUGAAUGCUUGGUGUGGCGGGUAUCGAUCCCUGCCGUGCCGAAGCUAACGCAUUAAGCAUUCCGCCUGGGGAGUACGGUCGCAAGGCUGAAACUCAAAGGAAUUGACGGGGGCCCGCACAAGCGGUGGAGCAUGUGGUUCAAUUCGACGCAACGCGAAGAACCUUACCCAGGCUUGAACUGCGAGUGACCAACUCCGAAAGGGGUCUUCCGCAAGGACACUCGUAGAGGUGCUGCAUGGCUGUC